This 1106-nucleotide long non-coding RNA is filed under the name Mus spicilegus (steppe mouse). Its description in RNAcentral is "lncRNA (ENSMSIG00000026918.1)". Lineage: Eukaryota; Metazoa; Chordata; Mammalia; Rodentia; Muridae. The record is from RNAcentral.
CAAUAUUCUAGAUCUUUCUAUAGAGACAAAUGAUUAUUAUACACAGCAGGCAGAGAUUAUACUCACCAGACUUUUGCCUCUUUGGGAGUGUGGGUAAGAGCUAUGCAUGUGUUUUCAGGGGUAGCAGUAUUAGGGACUCUUUCUGGAGUGCGUUUUAAACAUAAAGUGCAAGUUAACACAUUUGAAAUCUCUUAGCAAGGCCUUCACACUGGUUGAUAUCCAAGCACAGGGUGUUACCCAGGUCUGCUGAGUCCUUGUGUUCAUCUCCACGACUCUCCCUCUGCUGCCUAGGAAAACAAGCACCUGGCAGGCCUCCUCUCUGCUUCCUGCAUUUGAUGCUUCCUCCUUGACCUUCCUUCUCCAUUGAAGAACCAAGCUAAGAGAGCAAAGCUAUCAAUCACAGCCAGCUCCUCUGUGUUCAUCCCCAGGCAGUUUCCUUUGGCUAAAUACGUUCAUUCCCGUGGCUGGGUGAGCUAGUGAAUGGCAGUCCCUAGGGUUCAAAGGACUAAGGAGGUGACUGGAGAUUUAUUUAUUUUCUCAUUGUCCAGCCCAGACGUCUCCUUGAUCUGCCAGUUUCUCUGAAACUGGCAUUUGAUCUCAUCUCUUACUUGUCAUAAAAGCUAUUGUGUCCUUGGGCUUAUAUGAAAUAUAAUCUCACCUGUGACCUUCUUUUCAUACUGCACACUCUCCAGAGGCUUUAUGGAACUUGCACAGUUUAAUUUGGGAUUUGCUAUGCCUUUGCUGGGCUGCAGCCAACCUGUGGAGCCCUUUGAAUAGCUCAUUGUGCAAUAUCCACCAAAUGGACUGCAGCUCUGAAUCCACUUAGCUUCUUUUUUUUUUUUAUUCUGGUUGAAUUACUUUUUUCUUGACAUUUUUUUUUUUUUUUUUGGCUUCUGUCAACUGUUUGGAAAUACAGAAGCACAAAGUAUGGAGCUAGACCGGAACGAACGUUGAGCUAUAUGGCAGACAGAAUAAUAAACUCCCCAAAGCUAAAUCCUAAUCCCAGAAAUCUAAAACAUCUGACUUGUAACUCUGAUUCACCUCUGUUUGACUGGACAGCAUGCUCUUGUGUCUUAGUGGCGUUCAAAAGGGAGUGGACACCAUAG